This 1238-nucleotide unclassified non-coding RNA is filed under the name Hevea brasiliensis (rubber tree). Lineage: Eukaryota; Viridiplantae; Streptophyta; Magnoliopsida; Malpighiales; Euphorbiaceae. The record is from RNAcentral.
GGCUACCAACACCAACAGCCAAUGGCAAUUCAGUAAUCCCACAUGCAUCGAUCUAUCUUUUUUAAACAGUACUUUUCCAUACCUUAAACACCCAAAUUUUUCUCUCCCUUUCUCUCUAAACAAACAUCAACCAUGGCUCUCUUUAAUUCCAAAAUCACGCUCUUUUUUUGCACGCUAAGUUUCUUCGCUCUCUUUCUUUUCCCACUACUCUCUCUUUCCGCUUCCAUCCAUGACCUCCUUAUCUCAAAAGGGUUACCUGCUGGUCUCCUUCCAAAGGAAGUGAGAUCCUACAAUCUCUCUGAAAAUGGCUACCUGGAGGUGUUUCUUGAUGGACCUUGCUUGACUAAGUUUGAGAACAGGGUCUUCUUUGAAAGUGUAGUGAGGGCCAAUCUCACCUACCGGAGUCUCACCGGAGUUGUUGGUUUGUCCCAAGAAGAACUCUUCCUUUGGUUGCCUGUUAAAGAUAUCAUUGUUGAUGACCCGAGAUCAGGGCUUAUAAUGUUCGACAUUGGCGUUGCUCAUAAACAGCUUUCUUUAUCUCUCUUUGAAGAACCACCUGAUUGCAAGCCUCAAGGUACAUGGGUUGUUCUUGCUUUCAAAGCACAUUACCUUAAUCUUUCUUAAUUAAGUAUUUCCUUAAACAUGACCAAGGAUUGGGAUUUGCGUUGGUGGGUGAUUUGUCAGUUAAUAAAUAGCAGUUUCUGCUUGCACAUGAAUUUCUGUUAAGAGUUUAAGCGCAGAAAAGGAAACAGCUUUAGAACUUUAACGCCUAAUAGCCUGACAAAUUCCAGUAACAUUCAAGGCUAGUAUAGUGUUUCAGUAACUGAUUACAGAGUCUGUUUCCUCUUUCUUUUUCAGUACUUGGUUUUCUUUUUGUCUAUUUCCCCAGAAAAUUCCCUAAACCCCAAGAAAACUAUAACACUAGUGUGUUUUGAUUUAGUGAAGAAAACAAUAAAAUUGUAUAAUUUUUUUUGGCAAUGAUAUUGUUUAAUUAAUUGGUAAUCAUGUGAAUGUACAGGUGAGUUGAAGAAGAAUGGCGUGAGGAAAGAGAAAGGAUUUGAGGCAUGGAGAUAGAUUGAGAUGCUUCCCUGUUUUAGCUUUUGUCUUUUCUUAAUUUAUCUCCCAUAUAAUGUUAUGCGGUUGUGGAAAUGGACUAAGUAUGGGGCCUAGUUUCUCUAAUCAUAGUUUUUUUGUUAAUAUUAAUUAAUUUUUCAGGUGUUAUUAGAUUAGAAAUGAAA